GAAUUCUCUGUCUCUCUCCUCUCCUCUCCUCUGAAUUCUCCGUCUCUCUCCUCCUCAAAUCUCCAUUGUUCCCGUUCCUUGGUGGAAGUUUUCGAAGGAAUUUGGGUCGAAAAUCUUGUUGUUGAAAUUCUGCUAUUGAAGGAAAGGUCGUGCGCGUGGCGAGGGAGCUGGAGUGCGGCGAGGGAGCUGGGAUUUUAGUUUUUAGUUUUUAUUUUUUGAUGAACAAUUAAUAUAGUUAAUUCAAGUUUUUUUUGUGUAAAUUUUAGUUUUUAGAUUUUAUUCUUUCUUUUGAUUUCUUGUAUCAAAAUUCAUCAAAUUAUUAAUAAAAAUAUAUUAUUAAUUUACUAUUA
Beta vulgaris subsp. vulgaris (sugar beet) is the source of this 350-nucleotide long non-coding RNA. RefSeq lists it as uncharacterized. The record is from RefSeq and is a predicted model, not a curated record. Lineage: Eukaryota; Viridiplantae; Streptophyta; Magnoliopsida; Caryophyllales; Amaranthaceae. The transcript is spliced from 2 exons.